GAAGUAGCUAGUUAAAAUUUUAUAACAGUAUUUUGUCAAUUUACUAUUACCGAAUUCGGUGCACUUCU
This 68-nucleotide transfer RNA is filed under the name Drawida japonica. Its description in RNAcentral is "tRNA-Asp". Lineage: Eukaryota; Metazoa; Annelida; Clitellata; Moniligastrida; Moniligastridae. The record is from RNAcentral.